This 343-nucleotide unclassified non-coding RNA is filed under the name soil metagenome. Its description in RNAcentral is "partial contains 5.8S ribosomal RNA, internal transcribed spacer 2, and large subunit ribosomal RNA". The stretch from base 1 to 120 matches the Rfam family "5.8S ribosomal RNA", at positions 35 to 154 of the family's 154-position model. The record is from RNAcentral.
GAUGAAGAACGCAGCGAAAUGCGAUACGUAAUGUGAAUUGCAGAAUUCAGUGAAUCAUCGAGUCUUUGAACGCACAUUGCGCCCCCUGGUAUUCCGGGGGGCAUGCCUGUCCGAGCGUCAUUGCUGCCCUCAAGCACGGCUUGUGUGUUGGGCCUCCGUCCUCCUCCCGGGGGACGGGCCCGAAAGGCAGCGGCGGCACCGCGUCCGGUCCUCGAGCGUAUGGGGCUUCGUCACCCGCUCUUGUAGGCCCGGCCGGCGCUUGCCGACACAUCAAUCUUUUUUCCAGGUUGACCUCGGAUCGUAGGGAUACCCGCUGAACUUAAGCAUAUCAAUAAGCGGAGGA